AUUGAACGCUAGCGGGAUGCUUUACACAUGCAAGUCGAACGAGUGGCGGACGGGUGAGUAAUGUAUCGGAACGUGCCCGAUAGCGGGGGAUAACUACUCGAAAGGGUGGCUAAUACCGCAUACUAUUGGAGCUGCCGAUAUCGGAUUAGCUAGUUGGUGGGGUAACGGCUCACCAAGGCAACGAUCCGUAGCUGGUUUGAGAGGAUGACCAGCCACACUGGAACUGAGACACGGCCCAGACUCCUACGGGAGGCAGCAGUGGGGAAUGUUGGACAAUGGGGGAAACCCUGAUCCAGCCAUCCCGCGUGUAUGAGAAGGCCUUCGGGUUGUAAAGUACUUUCGGCAGAGAAGCGGUAUCUGCAGAAGAAGCACCGGCUAACUCCGUGCCAGCAGCCGCGGUAAUAC
Molecule: ribosomal RNA, 405 nt
Filed under: uncultured bacterium
Lineage: Bacteria
Description: partial 16S ribosomal RNA
Rfam family: Bacterial small subunit ribosomal RNA
Source: RNAcentral